RNAcentral lists this ribosomal RNA (497 nucleotides) under uncultured bacterium. Its description in RNAcentral is "partial 16S ribosomal RNA". It matches the Rfam family "Bacterial small subunit ribosomal RNA", at positions 28 to 507 of the family's 1533-position model. The record is from RNAcentral.
GAUGAACGCUGGCGGCGUGCCUAAUACAUGCAAGUCGAGCGAACAGACGAGGAGCUUGCUCCUCUGACGUUAGCGGCGGACGGGUGAGUAACACGUGGAUAACCUACCUAUAAGACUGGGAUAACUUCGGGAAACCGGAGCUAAUACCGGAUAAUAUAUUGAACCGCAUGGUUCAAUAGUGAAAGACGGUUUUGCUGUCACUUAUAGAUGGAUCCGCGCCGCAUUAGCUAGUUGGUAAGGUAGCGGCUUACCAAGGCGACGAUGCGUAGCCGACCUGAGAGGGUGAUCGGCCACACUGGAACUGAGACACGGUCCAGACUCCUACGGGAGGCAGCAGUAGGGAAUCUUCCGCAAAGGGCGAAAGCCUGACGGAGCAACGCCGCGUGAGUGAUGAAGGUCUUCGGAUCGUAAAACUCUGUUAUUAGGGAAGAACAAAUGUGUAAGUAACUAUGCACGUCUUGACGGUACCUAAUCAGAAAGCCACGGCUAACUACGUG